AACGAACGCUGGCGGCGUGCUUAACACAUGCAAGUCGAACGCGAAAGGGACUUCGGUCCUGAGUAAAGUGGCGCACGGGUGAGUAACGCGUAGAUAACCUGUCUUUAUGUCUGGAAUAAUACGCCGAAAGGGGUACUAAUACCGGAUACUCUUGCUUUAUAUAAGUUUUGCAAGCAAAGGUGGCCUCUGACAUAAGCUACUGCAUAAAGAGGGGUCUGCGUACCAUUAGCUUGUAGGUGGGGUAAUGGCCUACCUAGGCAACGAUGGUUAGCGGGUCUGAGAGGAUGAUCCGCCACACUGGCACUGGAGCACGGGCCAGACUUCUACGGGAGGCAGCAGUGAGGAAUAUUGCGCAAUGGGGGCAACCCUGACGCAGCGACGCCGCGUGAGUGAGGAAGGCCUUCGGGUCGUAAAGCUCUGUCAAAGGGAAAGAAAUGUAUAAUGGCUAAUACCUGUUAUAUUUGACGGUACCCUUAAAGGAAGCACCGGCUAACUCCGUGCCAGCAGCCGCGGUAAUACGGAGGGUGCAAGCGUUGUUCGGAAUUACUGGGCGUAAAGGGCGCGUAGGCGGUUUGAUAAGUCAGAUGUGAAAGCCCACGGCUUAACUGUGGAAGUGCAUUUGAUACUGUCAGGACU
RNAcentral lists this ribosomal RNA (636 nucleotides) under uncultured Desulfobulbus sp. RNAcentral describes it as "bacterial SSU rRNA". It matches the Rfam family "Bacterial small subunit ribosomal RNA", at positions 28 to 642 of the family's 1533-position model. The record is from RNAcentral. Lineage: Bacteria; Pseudomonadati; Thermodesulfobacteriota; Desulfobulbia; Desulfobulbales; Desulfobulbaceae.